GAUUUCUGGCUUGACGCGCUUGGCCCGCUUCGGUUACGAAUGUGAGUGCUGAUGCGCGUCUACCAUCCUUCCAGAAAACGGCAUCUGCCUUCACUGGUUUGGUGUCGCGAUCUGGAUCUAUUACUUUGAAAAAAUUAGAGUGUUUAAAGCAGGCGUUUGCUGUGAAUACAUUAGCAUGGAAUAAUAAUCUAGGACUUUGGUUCUAUUUUGUUGGUUUCUAGAGCUGAAGUAAUGAUUGAUAGGGAUAGUUGGGGGUGCUAGUAUUCCGUGGCCAGAGGUGAAAUUCUUGGAUUCACGGAAGACUAACUUAUGCGAAAGCAUU
RNAcentral lists this ribosomal RNA (322 nucleotides) under Filosa sp. RNAcentral describes it as "SSU rRNA". The stretch from base 105 to 322 matches the Rfam family "Eukaryotic small subunit ribosomal RNA", at positions 736 to 955 of the family's 1831-position model. Lineage: Eukaryota; Cercozoa. The record is from RNAcentral.